GUACCAGCAGUCGCAGUAAUACGUAGGUGGCGAGCGUUGUCCGGAAUUACUGGGUGUAAAGGGCGUGUAGGCGUGGAUGCAAGUCAGAUGUGAAAUUCCGAGGCUCAACCUCGGCGCUGCAUCUGAAACUGUGUCUCUUGAGUGUCGGAGAGGAAAGCGGAAUUCCCAGUGUAGCGGUGAAAUGCGUAGAUAUUGGGAGGAACACCGGUGGCGAAGGCGGCUUUCUGGACGACAACUGACGCUGAGGCGCGAAAGCGUGGGGAGCAAACAGGAUUAGAUACCCUGGUAGUCCACGCCGUAAACGAUGGAUACUAGGUGUAGGAGGUAUCGACCCCUUCUGUGCCGGAGUUAACACAAUAAGUAUCCCACCUGGGGAGUACGGCCGCAAGGUUGAAACUCAAAUGAAUUGGCGG
Molecule: ribosomal RNA, 413 nt
Filed under: uncultured bacterium
Lineage: Bacteria
Description: bacterial SSU rRNA
Rfam family: Bacterial small subunit ribosomal RNA
Source: RNAcentral